RNAcentral lists this ribosomal RNA (451 nucleotides) under uncultured bacterium. RNAcentral describes it as "partial 16S ribosomal RNA". It matches the Rfam family "Bacterial small subunit ribosomal RNA", at positions 29 to 523 of the family's 1533-position model. The record is from RNAcentral.
AACGAACGCUGGCGGCAGGCUUAACACAUGCAAGUCGAACGGGUGUAGCAAUACAUCAGUGGCAGACGGGUGAGUAACACGUGGGAACCUUCCUAGGGGUACGGAACAACUCAGGGAAACUUGAGCUAAUACCGUAUACGUCCGUGAGGAGAAAGAUUUAUCGCCCUUAGACGGGCCCGCGUCGGAUUAGCUAGUUGGUGGGGUAACGGCCUACCAAGGCGACGAUCCGUAGCUGAUCUUAGAGGAUGAUCAGCCACACUGGGACUGAGACACGGCCCAGACUCCUACGGGAGGCAGCAGUGGGGAAUCUUGGACAAUGGGCGCAAGCCUGAUCCAGCCAUGCCGCGUGAGUGAAGAAGGUCUUCGGAUUGUAAAGCUCUUUUGCCAGGGACGAUAAUGACGGUACCUGGAGAAUAAGCCCCGGCAAACUUCGUGCCAGCCGCCGCCAAGA